RNAcentral lists this unclassified non-coding RNA (2932 nucleotides) under Homo sapiens (human). RNAcentral describes it as "partial DEIN noncoding RNA transcript B". Lineage: Eukaryota; Metazoa; Chordata; Mammalia; Primates; Hominidae. The record is from RNAcentral.
GCACGCAGAGCUGUGUUGAAGGACAUACUUUUCAGGUUCCUGACAGUCACUGAGCUAUACGCAAUAAUAAAGUGCGUGAUUCGCGUGUGGAAACCAGUGUCGUGUCCUUACCAGCUUCCUUUUCUGUCCACCUUCCCUCUCUCUUCUACCUCCGUUUCGCUUUUCUUCAGUGCAUGUUAGCGGUUUGCUGGAUUUCCCUUCUCCCUCGCUGUUCAACUGCUAGCAUGAUUUGUUACAUUUUCCACAGCUGUUUAUUCUUGUUUGACUUUUUGUACAAAGUCACUUUAAAUCUGCUGCAGAAAGAAUAAAGCACCUAGCCCUUUGGAUGGACUCCUGCAGGCGUGUGGCUGUCCCUGGCCCACUUUUAAUUCUUUGGAGAUGGCUCUUCUGUGUAAAUCAGCUGCUGGGUGCGUUCGGUCACCUCGUAGGCCAGCCUAGUUUGUAUCAGCAGAACAGUAGUGGACUCGACUCAGGUCGUAAGCCUUAUAUUUCACAGACAAUUAAAUCUUGGCUGCUGUUGAACAAAACUGUAAUAUUUACUUUGUUCUAUACCGAGAAGCACUUUUAAAGUAAAAAAGAAAAAAAAACCAAAUACUACACUUCAAAAAGAAAAUAUGACAAUGAAUCUCUUUUUAUGGAUUCUCUCUGCAUAAGUGGAAACAAUAUGAUUUAAAUCCCCAACACCCCAUCCCCCUUUUCAGACACAGCUGAAGUGAUACAGAUACUGUCUUCUAACACAUAAUCUCCCUCUCUCGGGAGAGGCACCUGCCUGUGCUACAUUCGAUUUAGUUUGUAAGGUUUCAGGCCCCUCCCCGACCCAUGUAAUAUGUAACAAGGAUUAUCAAAUAAUAAGGUCUUGGAUGUGAAGUCUGCUUUACACAAGAAUUCAAGAAAGAUAGGCAGGACUUGAGUAAUUAUGUUACAACUUCAUAUUACUUUCCAAAUGAAUACCCAUUUUCUUCUCAUGUCAACUUCUAGAGAUGGGAUGCUGAGGCAGAGAAAUAUUUUUAUGAGACUCUGGAGUACAUACUAAAAUGUGCUUCCUUAUUAUUUAAGAAUGUGUAAGGUAUGGACCUACAUUUGUUUGCUGGUGGUCAUAAAAUAAAUUCAUAGCCAUUGUGGCCAAUAAGCAAUCUCCUUCACGCUUUAAAAGUUUUUGGUUUAUAAUCCCACCUGGAUUGUAUUUUCACUAUUCUGUAUCACCCUCCUAUUGCAAUAUUUUGGUUCUCAAUCUUAUGUAAAGCAAACCUCAGAAAUGAUCGUUUCCAUAAAAUUGUGCAAUGGCAAAGCCACAGAAUAAUAUUUUGAGUCCAUAUAGCCGUGCAUGCUCAUCUAUAUAGCUCUUAUACAGUUUUCUAGCUGAUUGCUUUGGUAUUUCAAGAAAUAGGAAGCAGUAGCUACCUAUUUUAAUGAAAGGGUACCAUUUCAUAAGAAUUCUAUUUUCACUGAAAAAAUUGGUCUGGCACAUUAUUCAAUGCAAAAGAUUAUAAUAUUACUUUCACGUGUGUUAAUCUGUUUAGUAUAAAACUGCUAGGGUGUCUUAACCAUUAACGCGUUUUGCCACACUACUUUCAAAUGGUGAUCUGAGAUAAUUACGAAGAUUUUGAUGUUAAUCCCACGUUAAAUGAACAACUAUGAAAAUAAUCUUAAAGCAUUAUUACUCCCAUAUACAUGCCAGCAAACCCAAUUGUGGAGAGAACAUGAUUACUUUUUAUCUGACAUUAUCCUAUAAGGAUAUGGCUACAUUUAUUUCUUUUAAAAUUGGAGCAGUUUUCAAUUACUUUUUAACAGAAUUGUUUUCAACACAGCAUUUUGCAGUGCCCAUAAACCAUAGCAACUUUGUCCUGAUCGAUACAUAUUUUUCUGCAUUAUUAUUCAUUAGCCUCUUUGCAAACUCACUAAAAUAGAAUAGUAUUAAAGUAUGAAUAUAUAGAGAACAAUUAUUAGGUUCUACAUAUUUAUUUAGGUAAACCAAUGUUAUUAAAAUUAAAAACAUGUGCCUGGCAUAUAAGUGCUUCUUCAGGAAUUCUUUUUUGGAUGCAUAGUUAUUAUUUUUUAAACAAACUCAGAUUUUCAAACACUGAUUUUCUUCUCUGAACGGGCAUUGCAUUGUUUUAAACAGUAGCUCCUGGAAUAAUGCCACCUUUAGUAUUUUAGACUUUCAAACAACAAUUGGAAUUGGAUAAAUGCUUUCAGCUGGGAGCACUUUCCUAAUACCUUUGUAGGUAAUGGGAUUCUCUAUUUGUGCUGGGUGACAAACGGACAGUGCCCUGGACAGACUGCCUACCCUCUGCAGAAUCUACCAAAAAGUAGAGUUUUCCCAUGAGACUGCUUGUGGUCCAUCUAAAAAUGAAAAAAUAAUCAGAGAAAAUGCGCAAAGCCUUUUCUAACUACAGUUAUGAAAUGAUGGCUUAAAGAGGUAUUUAGAAAAUAAGAGUGGAGUAAUACAGAAACAAAAUCUGAAGAAGAAAGUUUGCUUAGGAGCUGAUGCUCUUUGUCUACAAACAAGAGGGUAAGGAGCUGGAUCCAAUUGAAUUGAAUUGUUUUUGUUUGCUUGUUUGUUUUCUUCCAUUCAGUGCCUUUCAAACUGUUUUUUACUGGAUGAAGAAACUCAACCAAGAAAAUAUAUGUCGAUUCUUGUAUAUGGGACAAUAUUAGCUGCUGUGAUUUUUAAUACUAGCAUAAAAUAUAAGAAUCUUUUUAUUACUGUGAUAUUGUUUUUUCCUAAAUGAAUGCAUAGUGUAACAAUUGGUGUCAAAAAGCAUUGAAUUUUUUUCAGAUGGAUUAAGCUGGAAUAAUAAAGUAUAUCUAUGAGAUGAUUUCUGUAAACUCUGACUUGCUGAGAAAAAAGUGAAAAAGCUUUUUCUGGAAGAAACAUGGCAACUUAACCGUUAUUAAUCUGGACUAAAUAAAACAGGAAACUGCUUCUUUA